CGCGUAGGUGGUAGUGUAAGUCUGAGGUGGAAUCCUAUGGCUUAACCAUAGAACUGCCUUGGAUACUGUAUUACUUGAGUCAGUGAGGGGAGGGUAGAAUUCCUGGUGUAGCGGUGAAAUGCGUAGAUAUCAGGAGGAAGGCCUGUGGCGAAGGCGGCCCUCUGGUGCUGGACUGACACUGAGGCGCGAAAGCGUGGGGAGCAAACAGGAUUAGAUACCCUGGUAGUCCACGCCCUAAACGGUGGGCACUAGGUGUAGGGCUCGCAAGGGUUCUGUGCCGAAGGGAAACCAUUAAGUGCCCCGCUGGGGAGUACGGCCGCAAGGGUUGAA
RNAcentral lists this ribosomal RNA (330 nucleotides) under uncultured bacterium. RNAcentral's name for it is "bacterial SSU rRNA". It matches the Rfam family "Bacterial small subunit ribosomal RNA", at positions 568 to 899 of the family's 1533-position model. The record is from RNAcentral.